GUGGGCUACGGAGAUAUGGCACCCAAAACGUACGUGGGAAUGUUUGUCGGAGCCCUUUGCGCUUUGGCUGGCGUGUUGACCAUCGCCCUGCCGGUCCCUGUCAUCGUCUCCAAU
This is a non-coding RNA of Daphnia pulex (common water flea), 114 nucleotides long. NCBI's taxonomy places the organism in Eukaryota, Metazoa, Arthropoda, Branchiopoda, Diplostraca, Daphniidae. The record is from Rfam.